RNAcentral lists this unclassified non-coding RNA (280 nucleotides) under uncultured fungus. Its description in RNAcentral is "partial contains small subunit ribosomal RNA, internal transcribed spacer 1, and 5.8S ribosomal RNA". The stretch from base 1 to 73 matches the Rfam family "Eukaryotic small subunit ribosomal RNA", at positions 1759 to 1831 of the family's 1831-position model. The record is from RNAcentral. Lineage: Eukaryota; Fungi.
UCAAACUUGGUCAUUUAGAGGAAGUAAAAGUCGUAACAAGGUCUCCGUUGGUGAACCAGCGGAGGGAUCAUUAUUGAGUUGUUUUACCACUCAAAACCCUUUGUGAACCUUCUAUACCGUUGCCUCGGCGGCCCUAAACCCCCUAUAAGGGGGCGCGGGGCCCGCCGGUAAUACCAGUAUCUCUGUUUUCGAACCCGACGAUACCUCUGAGUGUUCUUAGCGAACUGUCAAAACUUUUAACAACGGAUCUCUUGGCUCUAGCAUCGAUGAAGAACGCAGC